RNAcentral lists this small RNA (885 nucleotides) under Histoplasma capsulatum var. duboisii H88. Its description in RNAcentral is "Histoplasma capsulatum H88 hypothetical RNA". The record is from RNAcentral. Lineage: Eukaryota; Fungi; Ascomycota; Eurotiomycetes; Onygenales; Ajellomycetaceae.
CUAUCUAGCCAGGUAUGUUGGGAUUAUAUGACGUGAAGAGAAAUAUGGAACUGGAUGCAAUUGAUUUCCACGAGUUCCUUUCACCUCUAUAACUAUUUAAAUUUAUACGACUGCUUUUUACUUCAAUUUCCUGUUCCGUGCAAUACUAUUCAAUCUCCACGUCAUGAUGGUCAUGUGACGUAAAUUCCCGUGUACGUAAUCGACGCAAGUUGUUAGACAACAGCAAUAACUAGUUACUGCAACAAAGCUCUUCGCCGGCAUCAAUCAAUGUUUGUUGACUAUCUGCAGAAGUAGUAGUAUAUUCGACAUUAUCGGCGGCGGAGCAAUUUUGAGGUGUUACGGUAUAAUACGAUUCGACUGAAGAAGACAGGGAAUACUCCUACUUCCCGGAACAUAUUAAGCUCGAAGCUCCCGGUUUGCUCCAAAUUCCCUGGAAUUGCUGAACGAAGAGUAGGAAGAGGUCCAGUGGCAUGCGAUAGGGCAUUUCCAGGCUUUGGCGGAGUGUGUCUUGAAUAUACGGGAUGGCGAUCACGGCCAACGGGAGUGGCAGCGGCGGCGGCGGAGGAGGCGGAGGGGCGGGAAGUUCCAGUACGGUCAGUCCGUUCGUCAUCGAGCACGACGAUGAUUCAGUAUUGGAUAACGAUUACCUAGAGGGUGGAACCAUCGAAGCCGACAAUCCGGCUCACAGCAACGAACCCACCACCGACCGCACACCUCUAACAGGAAACAUCGCAUCCUCCUCCUCAUCACGCCCCAACAUCACCGGCUCCUUCCUUACAUCCUCCAUCCCCGGCGAGGAUCGGCGCGCUCCACAAAACACCAUCGACGAGACUGUCUGGGCCACCUUAUCACGCGACCUGCUGGCCGUCUGGGAGAAAAUGCGGC